AGGACGAACGCUGGCGGCGUGCCUAACACAUGCAAGUCGAACGCGCUCCAUUCGGUAGCAAUACUGAUGAAGAGCGAGUGGCGAACGGGUGAGUAGCACGUGAGCAACCUGCCCCGAAGACCGGGACAACACCGGGAAACCGGUGCUAAUACCGGAUAUCCCUAUCGGACCGCAUGAUCUGAUAAGGAAAUGGAUUCCGCUUCGGGAGGGGCUCGCGGCCUAUCAGCUAGUUGGUGAGGUAACGGCCCACCAAGGCAUCGACGGGUAGCUGGUCUGAGAGGACGAUCAGCCACACUGGGACUGAGACACGGCCCAGACUCCUACGGGAGGCAGCAGUGGGGAAUCUUGCGCAAUGGGCGAAAGCCUGACGCAGCAACGCCGCGUGGAGGACGAAGGCUUUCUGAGUUGUAAACUCCUUUCAGCAGGGACGAUAGUGACGGUACCUGCAGAAGAAGCACCGGCCAACUCGCGCCAGCAGCCGCGGUAAC
Molecule: ribosomal RNA, 488 nt
Filed under: uncultured bacterium
Lineage: Bacteria
Description: SSU rRNA
Rfam family: Bacterial small subunit ribosomal RNA
Source: RNAcentral